Molecule: ribosomal RNA, 605 nt
Filed under: uncultured bacterium
Lineage: Bacteria
Description: bacterial SSU rRNA
Rfam family: Bacterial small subunit ribosomal RNA
Source: RNAcentral
GAACGCUGGCGGCGUGCCUAACACAUGCAAGUCGAACGAGAAAGCGGGCUUCGGCUCGUUAGUAGAGUGGCAGACGGGUGAGUAACACGUGGGUAACCUGUCCGGAGGCGGGGGAUAACUCUCCGAAAGGAGGGCUAAUACCGCAUAAUAUUCGUUAGGUUUCGGCUCGACGAAUCAAAGCUUGCCUCUACAUGUAAGCAAGCACCACCGGAGGGGCCCGCGGCCCAUUAGCUUGUUGGUGAGGUAACGGCUCACCAAGGCGACNAUGGGUAGCCGGCCUGAGAGGGCGAUCGGCCACACUGGAACUGAGACACGGUCCAGACUCCUACGGGAGGCAGCAGUGAGGAAUUUUGCGCAAUGGGGGAAGCCCUGACGCAGCGACGCCGCGUGGAGGACGAAGGCCUUCGGGUCGUAAACUCCUGUCAAGUGGGACGAAUCCGGAGAGAUGAAUAAGCUUUUCGGUUGACGGUACCAUUGGAGGAAGCCCCGGCUAACUCCGUGCCAGCAGCCGCGGUAAUACGGAGGGGGCUAGCGUUGUUCGGAAUUAUUGGGCGUAAAGGGCGCGUANGCGGCCUGGUAAGUCGGACGUGAAAUCCCGCGGCUCA